UUCAUUUUUGAAAUGUUCACCUGCCUGCUUGCUCAUUCUAGAGAGGAAAAUUGGCAAAAAAAAUUAGGUUUACGAUUUCUUCGUCAAAUUUCUCGGUUUCGACUUUCGAUUAUUCGCAUGUAUAUGAGAUUUGACGGGUCAUCCAGCUAUCGGAUCGGGAGUUCAAGGAGGUUGGCGGUUUUGAUAUACGUGGUUGAUUGGAAAUAGCCGUGUAUGUUCAUAGCAUUAUGAAGUGGCCGGGCUUCCAUCUUUUAUUCCGGAAGCAUUUUUAAAUUAUAUAAAGAUGACUGAUAUCUUAUCUCUAGAGUUGUAGUAGUUUUAUAAUAUGAGAAUGUGUUAUCUUAGUUUAGUAGUUCACUCUAUUUUACACAACUUUAAUAUGAACUGUUAUAUAUAUAUAUGGUUUGAAAACCUGCGUGAUUUUCAUAAUAUAUGGAUGAUCUACUAGUUGUUAUAUCAUAAA
Molecule: long non-coding RNA, 463 nt
Organism: Mercurialis annua (annual mercury)
Lineage: Eukaryota; Viridiplantae; Streptophyta; Magnoliopsida; Malpighiales; Euphorbiaceae
Exons: 3
Source: RefSeq, a predicted model, not a curated record